Molecule: ribosomal RNA, 497 nt
Filed under: uncultured bacterium
Lineage: Bacteria
Description: partial 16S ribosomal RNA
Rfam family: Bacterial small subunit ribosomal RNA
Source: RNAcentral
GAUGAACGCUGGCGGCGUGCCUAAUACAUGCAAGUCGAGCGAACGGACGAGAAGCUUGCUUUUCUGAUGUUAGCGGCGGACGGGUGAGUAACACGUGGAUAACCUACCUAUAAGACUGGGAUAACUUCGGGAAACCGGAGCUAAUACCGGAUAAUAUUUUGAACCGCAUGGUUCAAUAGUGAAAGACGGUCUUGCUGUCACUUAUAGAUGGAUCCGCGCUGCAUUAGCUAGUUGGUAAGGUAACGGCUUACCAAGGCAACGAUGCAUAGCCGACCUGUGAGGGUGAUCGGCGACACUGGAACUGAGACACGGACCAGACUCCUACGGGAGGCAGCAGUAGGGAAUCGUCCGCAAUGGGCGAAAGCCUGACGGAGCAACGCCGCGUGAGUGAUGAAGGUCUUCGGAUCGUAAAACUCGGUUAUUAGGGAAGAACAUAUGUGUAAGUAACUGUGCACAUCUUGACGGUACCUAAUCAGAAAGCCACGGCUAACUACGUG